UGGCUUUCAGUCACGCUGAAAUGACCUCUGGCCUAUCAGUAAAUGUUAGAAUCGCGUCAGUCUAAUGCGACAAUUGCCUGACUAAUGAGCGUUAGGGAAGUUGACUGCAGUAUGUCCAUUCAUUUGUUCUACUUCAAAACAGCCUGACCAGCUCUGCUAUGACUGUGCAAGUCCUCAUAUCUCCCUACAGCUAAAACAUUUUUGUAACAUUUUAGGUCUAGAGAGGGGGCUCUGACCGGCCGUCUAAGAAGAUCGAAUUGGGAUUUCCCCAACAAAUAGACUGAGUGGAAUGUCACGAGGAGAGACCGGUCCAUGCCCAGCGAGACAGGAGAUGUUUGUCCUAAUGGAUUACAUGAAAAAUCAGCCUGAUAUGAACAGAGACUGGGUGGUUGAAGUCCAGGAAAACUUUGGGCUGAACCACAAGACUGUACCUGGUGGUGAAGCUGACGGACCUCUACCUGGCCUGCAACAUCAUCAUGAAGGAGAGUCUGCAGCUUAUUGGAUCCACAGCUGUGCUCACCACCUCUAAGUUUGAGAACAAAAAUGAAUAGAAAGACUGUGCCUGUCUCCUUAUCAACCUUAAGACGAAGGACACGUGUAGACGUUCAAAAAAGGCAUAAUCAAAUAUGGACAGACUUGACUGACAUGGACAGGACAGGAACAGGGGCAGAUGACAGAGUUCUUUCUGAGGACACUGCCCCACCCUCUUCAGCUGCACAUGCAAUGCCAGAGGUGCAAGUUGUUACUGAAGAUGACAUGGAAUUGGAGGCAGAUUUUGAUGAUGUGUACAUUACUCUGGAUGAAAAUUUGCUGAUGCCUUUUCAUCUAAUUGAAUUUCAAGCAAGCGAGGACAUUGCUGUUGUGCCAGUUGACUGGUAUGAUGACGGGAUGGUGUACUGGCCCAGCUUUAAGAGCACUGAACAUGUGAAACGGGCAGCUGCUAACGAGGAGAAGCAUGAGCCAAACUGGCCAAGAUAUGACGUAAAGGUCAUCAGAACUUGUGACAACUACAAAGACGCCAUCAGGCUAAUGAAUCAAUAUCAGACCGGCUGCAACGCCUCUGAGCUACAGUCUGAGGGUGAGCUGCCAGAGAAACGAGUCAGGAAGCCAAUCCAUCGUUUUGGGGAUUCUGAUGAGAGUGAAGAAGAGCCAGAAAAUUGUUACUUAGCUUCUCUGAGGUCGCCACGACCUUCCAACUCGGCUUGUGUAUCAGUUGGAGCCUCAAGCCCAAACCAAUUACACUGGCAGACUCCACCAUCUCGCCGAGUGCCAGGCAGCAGAGUCACUACUCAACCUGGAGGAAACUGUCUAGGUAAAGGGACCCCGUCUAGAUUAACACAACAAUG
This is a long non-coding RNA of Esox lucius (northern pike), 1346 nucleotides long. NCBI's taxonomy places the organism in Eukaryota, Metazoa, Chordata, Actinopteri, Esociformes, Esocidae. The record is from Ensembl.